AGGCUUCCAACAAAACUGCAAUUGCACCCAAUGCUAUGAUCACCCCAAUAUAAGCCCUCUUCCAAUUUUUCUGUCCAUUUAAAGCAUCAAAUCCCUCAAAUACAUUGAUGAUGCUAAGAAUGAUGACAGUGUAUCCAAUAGUAUGGUGGUAGAUGUUCCAGUAGAGUCUGUACUUGUGGUCUGGCUUUGGCCUCAAAAGCAGGGCAAAAACCUAUGAUAUAAUACAGCAAUUAAAACUUGGAAUUUGUGUCUUGUUAAAGAAAAAGGUAACAAUCAAAUAAAUGGAGACAUACCUGAAGGGUUCCAAGGCAGAAGAGAGUAAUGCCAAUGUUCCUGUGAGUGUUGAAUUUAAUUCCAACAGAAUCACUGCCAAGCUUGAGACCAGUGCCCCAUCCAGCAACACCAACAGCAUAAGCAGAGGUUUGGCAAGCAACAUGUAGGUAAAACCAAGCUGGAUUUGCUGACUUGAACACUUUCAAGUACCUUGCAAAUACAGCACCCAUUGGCAUCAUUACUCCCCAACUAAUUGCAUUCAGCACUCCAUGUGUCUGUCAUCAAAAUUAAAUUAGUUUCUUUAAUACUACUAAA
Molecule: long non-coding RNA, 588 nt
Filed under: Nicotiana tabacum (common tobacco)
Lineage: Eukaryota; Viridiplantae; Streptophyta; Magnoliopsida; Solanales; Solanaceae
Description: long non-coding RNA (NTAB_LNC016816)
Source: RNAcentral